This is a non-coding RNA of Chryseobacterium arachidis, 71 nucleotides long. The record is from Rfam. NCBI's taxonomy places the organism in Bacteria, Pseudomonadati, Bacteroidota, Flavobacteriia, Flavobacteriales, Weeksellaceae.
UUCUUGCGUCAGGGAUUGCAAUGGAAAUCCUUUUCAUGCUGAAAAGAUUGGAGAGAAAAGCCCGCCCGAAG